Molecule: unclassified non-coding RNA, 571 nt
Filed under: Hevea brasiliensis (rubber tree)
Lineage: Eukaryota; Viridiplantae; Streptophyta; Magnoliopsida; Malpighiales; Euphorbiaceae
Source: RNAcentral
GUGUAGGAGACGAUGAGAUUGAUGUUAAAAACAAUGAAGAUGCAAAGAAUGUAUUGGAAAUUGUACAAGAAGAAACUGGAAUACUAAAUGGUGGAAAUGAAGCAGCACACCUAGCCAAGUCUCAUUUUGAAAUUGCAAACGAAGAUUCUGAAAUAGAGAUAGUGGACGAUAUUGGUGAAAAUGUUCAUAGAGUUGAGGCAUUUCUGGAUGAAAAUGGGAUUCCACCAGAUGCCUACUAUUUUAUCAAUCCAACAUCAUAUGAGCCUAGGGGCAGAGCCUAAGAAUCUUAACAAGAAUCGAGCAAUUUAAAAUGAAAAUUCAUUGCAGGCUAACGAACUAACAGAUUAACAUCCUUGCAAGAGUCCUACUAUUAUGAGUAGAGGAUAUUAAAUUGAAAGUGUUAGUCAUAAUUGUUGUGCGUUGUGCAGAAUGUGAGUUCGAAACUGCUAAUAUUUAGAUACUUCAUGGCCUAAUCAACUUUAAAAUGAUGGUUCCCCAGAUAUUUCUAGCGAAAUGAUAGAAUGUUAAAGUUAAACGUGCUAUCAACAAGACAAAUAAAACCUAUGCAAAA